UUCGGCCUUUUUUUUUUUUUUAAUGCAUUGUGUUCGUGCUGUUGUUUUCCUAUUUUACUGAAACUUUUCGUUAUCUAUUUUUUUGUUAAUUGAUAUAAUUUGCAGUUCCUAUUUGUGGACUGCGUUUGUAUACAUUAAACGAAUGCUAAAUAGGUUUCUAUUAGUUUAUUUCGCGAAACAAUGGAGCUCGUUACAUGUUCGAUGUUGUGAAAUCGAAGCCGCCCAUAUUACCAUUAUCAUCUUCACCUUGCUUACGACACGCCAGACACCUCAAUUCACAUCACACGUUAUUAUGAUUGUUUUAUUUAAACUCUUUAACCAUAAACGUCUUUCGAGGUGAAUACGUGAGGGAAAUUUUUGGUGUAAUUGAAAGAAGCUGGUUGCCUUAACUAUUUGGACGGAAGAGGAAAUCCGAAGAACACAGACAGGGGCUGGCUUAUUGGCGCGUUAUGCGGAAGCCAAAUGAAGAUGAGGAAGGAAGAAGAAGAA
This is a long non-coding RNA of Nicrophorus vespilloides, 489 nucleotides long. RefSeq lists it as uncharacterized. The record is from RefSeq and is a predicted model, not a curated record. NCBI's taxonomy places the organism in Eukaryota, Metazoa, Arthropoda, Insecta, Coleoptera, Silphidae. The transcript has 2 exons.